GAUCGCGCCUAUGCAGGAGGUCUGCCACCUGUGACAAGGCGAGAAGUGCACUGAACCUUAUCUUUAGAGGAAGGAGAAGUCGUAACAAGGUUUCCAUAGGUGAACCUGUGGAAGAAUCAUUAUCGCAUCACAUCUCCGUCUCGAUCAACCUGACGCACCCACGAACAGUUGACCCCGACCCUUCUUUUAAAUUCGUCCACAGGGAAGAGGCAGAUCAACGGUCCCUCGGUUCUCGGCCGACAGCUCAGCUCGGCUGUGUCCGUUCGAUCGUCAAUCCGUCAUGCCUCCUCUAGCCCUCUGCGUGCCCUCCUCCCCAAGCAUCAUCCAUGUCGAUGGUCGAGCGGCGGCGGGACGACAAACCUCCCAGUACGGCCUGUGCCAAGGAUCACAUACUAAGGUCACCCACGCAUGGGCCUUACUCUUAGCGGGGAGAUGUGCGGUGUCAGUCGCUAGGAACGAGUCUCCAAAUGACUUUCGGCAAUAGAUAUCGUGGCUCUCGCAUCGAUGAAUAACAUAGCAAAAUGUGAUAUGUGGUGUGAAUUGAAAAAUCCCCAAACCAUUGAAUUUUGAAUGCAAUUUGCCCCCGAGGCCACUGGGCCGAGGGAUACCUGCCUUGGUGUCAUGCCCCAUGUAGCAACUUGUCCCCCGCCUGCAGUGUCUACCAGCAGUGCACGGCCGCCGAGGACGGGGAUGCAGAGAUUGGCUUGUCGUGCUCCGGUGCGGAGGGCUGAAGACCUUGGCCCUCUCAUGGGGGGUGACCAUGGCGACCGGUGGACGAAUUUGACAUUGUGGACACUCUGGACAGUAAGCACUCAUCAUUGUGUGCUUGUCAUUGCUGAACAGAAUAGAAUGGAGCUCCGCUUACUCACCAUGAGGGGGAAGGAAGGAAUGAGGUGUGCCAAUGAGCAAAGGAACCCACUCCCGAGCCGACGCAGGCCGUAGCUCGGACUGCGACCCUAGGUCAGGCAGGGCCACUCACCGAGCUUAAGCAUGUAAAUAAGUGGAGGAAAAUAAACUUACCAGAAUUCCCCUAGUAACGG
RNAcentral lists this ribosomal RNA (1040 nucleotides) under Homalomena pygmaea. RNAcentral describes it as "eukaryotic LSU rRNA". The stretch from base 470 to 622 matches the Rfam family "5.8S ribosomal RNA". The record is from RNAcentral. Lineage: Eukaryota; Viridiplantae; Streptophyta; Magnoliopsida; Alismatales; Araceae.